UAGAACUUAUCAUCCUGUGGCCACUGCUC
This 29-nucleotide non-coding RNA is filed under the name Mus musculus (house mouse). The record is from RNAcentral. Lineage: Eukaryota; Metazoa; Chordata; Mammalia; Rodentia; Muridae.